AUUUUGAAGUCCUUCAAUAUCAUAUCAGGCCUAUUCGCAUCUACCUUUCUAUCAGUUUGAAUGGUGAAGUUCCAGAGGAGUGAGAUGUGAUCAUUUUCAAGCACUGGGGGUGUUUGCUUUGUAUUCCCACCA
This is a long non-coding RNA of Octopus sinensis (East Asian common octopus), 132 nucleotides long. RefSeq lists it as uncharacterized. The transcript is spliced from 3 exons. Lineage: Eukaryota; Metazoa; Mollusca; Cephalopoda; Octopoda; Octopodidae. The record is from RefSeq and is a predicted model, not a curated record.